GUAGGGAAUAUUGGACAAUGGGCGAAAGCCUGAUCCAGCCAUGCCGCGUGAUAGAUGAAGGCCCUCUGGGUUGUAAAUAUCUUUUAUCUGGGAAGAAACUCCUCUAUUCUUAGAGGCCUGACGGUACCAGAGGAAUAAGCACCGGCUAACUCCGUGCCAGCAGCCGCGGUAAUACGGAGGGUGCAAGCGUUAUCCGGAUUCACUGGGUUUAAAGGGUGCGUAGGCGGGUUGAUAAGUCAGUGGUGAAAGCUCCGGGCUUAACUUGGAAACUGCCAUGUAUACUGUCAGUCUUGAAUGUCGUAGAGGUAAGCGGAAUGUUGCAUGUAGCGGUGAAAUGCUUAGAUAUGUUACAGAACACCAAUUGCGAAGGCAGCUUACUAUGCGAUAAUUGACGCUGAGGCACGAAAGCGUGGGGAGCAAACAGGAUUAGAAACCCUGGUAGUCC
This 445-nucleotide ribosomal RNA is filed under the name uncultured bacterium. RNAcentral's name for it is "partial 16S ribosomal RNA". It matches the Rfam family "Bacterial small subunit ribosomal RNA", at positions 354 to 796 of the family's 1533-position model. The record is from RNAcentral.